GGGAUGGCUCCCCCCAGGGCUCAGGACGGCCCAGGGAUUGCUCUCGCCCCCCCGACCCCGGGGCCGAGGCGCUGCCCUCCGCGGGAUCGCGGCGCGGGCGGGCCCCGCCCCGGGCAGCCCUCGGCCGGAGGGUGCUGAAGGAACUUGGAAUGAAUGUGACAGAUGUGAAGAAGUGUGGAAACAAUUAAGAAGUGGCAUAAAGGUGCAGAAAAAGCAUGGAAAACAUAAGAAAAAUAACACUAAAGAAGAAAAGAAAGCACAGGCACCACCAAACAGCAAAGAUAAAAUCUACAAAUAACAGGAAAAAAAGCACAAUUAUUAAGGACUCCAACGCCCAGCUCGUGCCACAAUGCUCAGCAAAUUGUGCAAUUCGCCAUCUCUGACACGGGGUGGCACAACAUAGCUGGGAAUCCAUCGAGUGCGAAAUGGAACCGAGAGCACACGCAAACAAGAGGUCAGAGCCAACUACGAGGGAAUGUUGAAUAAUUCUAUUUCUAAACAUCAGACAAUUGCAAAUAUAAGCAUUUUCUGACUCGAAAGCUUUACCAAAGAGAACAGGCUUGAAGGAAUAAUGCUCUAUUGCAUGAAUUUGUCCUGUACAUGGAAGGAAUAAACUGUUACACGAUUUUGGGGCAUCACAUAUUUCACAAUUAACCUUUAAAUAGAAAUUAGUCAUCAAAAGCAACAGAAUACAAAACAUCCAUCUUUUUAAUAGUCCUUUCACAUUUUACAUAUUAGAAAAAUAUUUUCUAGUAGCCUAAAAAAACCCCACCACCUAGAUGAAAAGUGCCCCCCUCUCAAGUGGUUCAAGCAACAGCUCAGAAAUGUUGGAAUUUGAAAACAUUAAUUUGAAUGUCUGUCUCUGUGGGGUUGCAUGUAGAGACUGCAUUUGUACAGAAUUCCUUCUUGCUAUUUUCCCUAUGCAAGAAGUUCAAAUAUUGUUGUGGGAUUUUUUUUCCCCAACUUUAUUUUGCCCUUUUUGGAUGGUAAGGGCUUUGGGCUGUGGUUUUGUAGCCCAUCCAAAUAAUUUGGCUCCUGUCUUAGACACCUGUGAUACAAAAUUACAAGAUCAGCACAUCAUGGAGCAGCAGCUUUCAGAUCUGUGGGCAGGAAGUGUGUAAUAUUUUGCUUCACUUCUGCUAUUCCUAUCACCACCUCUGGAAAGCCAUUCUAUUGGAAUCAGCUGUCCCACUGCAGUAGCUGGGUUUCAUGGUCUUGGUAUAUCAUGAGGGAUUAUUGAUCCUAUAGUGACCCUCCCCACAGUCUUUCUGUGUCCCUGUGACCCCUCUCCCAACUCGCCGUGAGCUACUUCAGAUCCACCCCACGAUGCUGCAGUGGACUAGUUCUUCAGCAGACUUGCACUUCACGUCUCCUGACACCCCCACCCCCAUGUUUUGUCUUUUUCUAUCUCUGAACAAAUCCCUGGCUGUUGAAAAGAAGCCAAGGUCUAAGCCAGGUCUCAGUGAAGAACUUCUGUUUGGAAUUCAGCUGGAAAAGUACAACAAAUACAGAGAAUGCACAUCUUUCUGAGUCAAACCAAGGCCCAGACCUUGGCCAUUUCAGGGGCAGAGCUGUUACCUACACACAAAUGAGAACCUGUUCCUCCCCUGUGGGUAUGAUUUCAGGAGCAUUUAUAUAUUUUUCUCUAGCAGGGAACAGUUUGUUGGCUACAAACAGCCAUACUGGUACGAGUGAAAGCAAGAGCCAGCCAUGAGAAUCCUUCUAUCCGUAUUGGUGGGGGGACGUGUUAUGAUUAUUUAGUUUAUAGAAUCUACUGAUGUUCUUCAUUACUCUUUAAAUAAGAUUUCUGUAUCUGCAAAUGAAAGGUACUAAAUGCAUUGCUAUUAAUACCAUAUUUGCAAAUUUCUAUGCCCUCAAGAAAAGUGGAUAUUAAUUUCACUUUGGCUGAAAACUGAGGGACCUAUUAACUGUGGGAAUAAUGUGGAAAAAUAACAGAAACAGGAGAUCUCUUGAAUCUGCCUUUUCCAGAUAAGGACUGUGAGACAAUCCCAGUACACCAAUAGCACUGCAGACAAUUGUGUGGUUGUGUACUGUUAACUCACAGUCCUUAAUUUGUACUGGCAGGUCUGCCUGU
Molecule: long non-coding RNA, 2095 nt
Organism: Pseudopipra pipra
Lineage: Eukaryota; Metazoa; Chordata; Aves; Passeriformes; Pipridae
Exons: 3
Source: RefSeq, a predicted model, not a curated record